UCGGAAAACAUUCGGGGCAGUCGAUAA
This 27-nucleotide non-coding RNA is filed under the name Bombyx mori (domestic silkworm). Lineage: Eukaryota; Metazoa; Arthropoda; Insecta; Lepidoptera; Bombycidae. The record is from RNAcentral.